RNAcentral lists this ribosomal RNA (464 nucleotides) under uncultured bacterium. RNAcentral's name for it is "bacterial SSU rRNA". It matches the Rfam family "Bacterial small subunit ribosomal RNA", at positions 331 to 793 of the family's 1533-position model. The record is from RNAcentral.
CCAGACUCCUACGGGAGGCAGCAGUGAGGAAUAUUGGUCAAUGGUCGGGAGACUGAACCAGCCAAGCCGCGUGAGGGAUGAAGGUACAGAGUAUCGUAAACCUCUUUUGUCAGGGAACAAAGGCGGGGACGCGUCCCCGGAUGAGUGUACCUGAAGAAAAAGCAUCGGCUAACUCCGUGCCAGCAGCCGCGGUAAUACGGAGGAUGCGAGCGUUAUCCGGAUUUAUUGGGUUUAAAGGGUGCGCAGGCGGUGUGAUAGGGCGGCGCAAAACGCCGGGGCCCCCCCCCCGCCCCGCCGUUGAAACUGGCAGUCUCGAGUUGGAGAGAAGUAUGCGGAAUGCGCGGUGUAGCAGUGAAAUGCAUAGAUAUCGCGCAGAACUCCGAUUGCGAAGGCAGCAUGCCGGCUCCACACUGACGCUGAGGCACGAAAGCGUGGGUAUCGAACAGGAUUAGAUACCCCUGUAG